AUACGGAGGAUGCGAGCGUUAUCCGGAUUUAUUGGGUUUAAAGGGUGCGUAGGCUGUUUUUCAAGUCAGGGGUGAAAUGCCGGGGCUCAACUCCGGAGCUGCCUUUGAUACUGGGAGGCUGGAAUACUGUUGCCGUGGGAGGAAUGAGUAGUGUAGCGGUGAAAUGCAUAGAUAUUACUCAGAACACCGAUUGCGAAGGCAUCUCACGAAGCAGUGAUUGACGCUGAGGCACGAAAGCGUGGGGAUCAAACAGGAUUAGAUACCCUGGUAGUCCACGCAGUAAACGAUGAUAACUAACCGUUGGCGAUAGACAGCCAGUGGCCAAGCGAAAGCGAUAAGUUAUCCACCUGGGGAGUACGACCGCAAGGUUGAGACUCAAAUGAAUUGACGGGG
Molecule: ribosomal RNA, 393 nt
Filed under: uncultured bacterium
Lineage: Bacteria
Description: partial 16S ribosomal RNA
Rfam family: Bacterial small subunit ribosomal RNA
Source: RNAcentral